CUAGUACGGGAGGCAGCAGUGGGGAAUCUUCCGCAAUGGACGAAAGUCUGACGGAGCAACGCCGCGUGAGUGAUGACGGCCUUCGGGUUGUAAAGCUCUGUUAAUCGGGACGAAUGGUUCUUGUGCGAAUAGUGCGAGGAUUUGACGGUACCGGAAUAGAAAGCCACGGCUAACUACGUGCCAGCAGCCGCGGUAAUCUAG
RNAcentral lists this ribosomal RNA (201 nucleotides) under uncultured bacterium. Its description in RNAcentral is "partial 16S ribosomal RNA". It matches the Rfam family "Bacterial small subunit ribosomal RNA", at positions 335 to 530 of the family's 1533-position model. The record is from RNAcentral.